ACUGAAAAGUUACUUGUAUUAAACAAGGUUUUCAAUUAGUAUAAUAAGUUGUAAUAAUAUUAUUUUAUAAUUAAUUUUUAAAAAGUAUAAUUAACAAAGAAAUUUAUUUAAAACAUUAAAUUAAAAGUACUGUAUAGGAAAAUUGAAAUAUUUGAAAAUUUUAUAUAAAAAAAGAACUAUAGUAGGGUACCUUUUGUAUCAGGAUUAAUCUAAUUUAUAAAUUUAUUUAUUAUAUCUCGAAAAUAUAAGAGUUAAAUAUUUUUAAAGUUUUUGUUUUAAAAAAAUUUUUAAGAAAUGUUUAGGUGCAAAACACUAUUCGAUUAUAUAAAUAUCUAGUUACUUUUUAUAAAAAUUUAGUUUAACAACUUUUAGAAUUUUUAAAUUUUUUAAAAUAAUUUUAAAAAGGGGUUAUAAUUUAGGGGUUGAGCUCUAAAUUAAUAAAAAUAAUAAAUCAAUUUAAAAUAAUUUUGUUUAAGCUUAAAAUUAGCUAUACUAGAAUGUUAUAAUUAAUAAAUUGUUGAUAAUAAUUUAUAUUUAUUUUUUUUAUUAAAAAGUUAUUACAAAAUUUAUAUUUUGUAAGAAAUAAUGGUUAAAUAAGUAGAUUUAUUAAUUAAUACUUUUUUUUAAAUAAUUAAAAAUUGUUUUAAAAUUAAUAUUGCUUUUAAAGAACUCGGCAAUAAGAUUUCCGAAUGUUUAACAAAAACAUUUCUUCUUAUAACAAGAAGUAAGACCUGCUCACUGAAUUUUAAAGAGCCGCAGUAUUUUAACUGUGCUAAGGUAGCAUAAUAAUUAGUCUUUUAAUUGGAGGCUGGUAUGAAGGGUUAAACGAGAAAUCAACUUUUUUGAAAGUAAAAAUCUAAUUUAGGGUUUAAGUGAAAACACUUAAAUAUUAUAGUAAGACGAGAAGACCCUAUAGAGUUUAAUAAAUUUUAAAUUUAGAAUUAAUUGUGAAUAAAGUAUUAGAUUGAAAGUUUAUUUUGUUGGGGCGACAUUAAAAUAUAAAAAACUUUUUAUUAAAGAAACUUAUAUUAAAGAAUAAAUUUGAUCCUUAAAAAAGAUUAAAAGAAAAAAUUACCUUAGGGAUAACAGCGUAAUCUUUCUUGAGAGUUCUAAUCGACAGAAAGGUUUGCGACCUCGAUGUUGGACUAAAAUUAGUAUAGGGCGCAGAAGUUCUAUUUUUUGGUCUGUUCGACCAGUAAUUUUUUACACGAUCUGAGUUCAGACCGGCGUGAGCCAGGUUAGUUUCUAUCUUUUAAUAAUCUUAUAUUAACUUAGUACGAAAGGAUUAGUUACUAGUAAAUUUUAUAAUAUAUUUUGAGGAUUAUUAAUUUAGGAUAAAAUAAAUUUGGCAGAUGGAUGUAACAGACUUAGAAUCUGUUUA
RNAcentral lists this ribosomal RNA (1381 nucleotides) under Poecilasma litum. RNAcentral describes it as "16S ribosomal RNA". The stretch from base 898 to 1251 matches the Rfam family "Archaeal large subunit ribosomal RNA", at positions 2155 to 2712 of the family's 2987-position model. Lineage: Eukaryota; Metazoa; Arthropoda; Thecostraca; Poecilasmatidae. The record is from RNAcentral.